Molecule: non-coding RNA, 559 nt
Organism: Triticum urartu
Lineage: Eukaryota; Viridiplantae; Streptophyta; Magnoliopsida; Poales; Poaceae
Source: RefSeq, a predicted model, not a curated record
GUGCAAGGAGAGACCCAAGGCGGUCAUGUGGAUCUCCUGAAGCGAUGAUAACCGUGGAAGAAGAUACAAGACAUGCGCCAAGUCGCGGACUGGAGGCUGUGAAAUGUACGUGUGGCAUGACGAUCGUAUUGAGGAUCCGUUCCUCAAACAACUCCUCAUUGAUCUCCGCGACAGGGUGCGUCACUUAGAGAGGAUCAACUCAGAGUUACGAGAUGCAGCAAGUGUGGUGGCACAACACCGCUCUACCCAGCUAGAACUACCUCCUGCUCCUAUAGACAAUUUAGCUAUGAAUCAAGGACCUGGCUAUGUCAAGGGUUUGCACUGUUCAUGCUGCUGGCAGCAUUUUGUUGCAAGUGCUUCUUCGGUUAGGAGCAGUGAACUUUUAACUGCAUCCACAAAAAAGCUUGUGUUCUAGAUGUGAUAGUUGUAACCCUAGCAGUCCAUCAGCUGUUGUUGAGUACUUGCCUUUGUUUUUGUCCUAGCAGUUGAACUUGUACCUCUGAAUGUAUGUGGUAAACUAGUGUGAACUAGUUGCAUAUGAAAUUUGGUUUCUAUCAGA